UACGUAGGGGGCGAGCGUUGUUCGGAAUUAUUGGGCGUAAAGAGCGUGUAGGCGGCCAGGUAGGUCCGUUGUGAAAACUCGAGGCUCAACCUCGAGACGUCGAUGGAAACCAUCUGGCUAGAGUCCGGAAGAGGAGAGUGGAAUUCCUGGUGUAGCGGUGAAAUGCGCAGAUAUCAGGAAGAACACCCGUGGCGAAGGCGGCUCUCUGGGACGGUACUGACGCUGAGACGCGAAAGCGUGGGGAGCGAACAGG
Molecule: ribosomal RNA, 253 nt
Filed under: uncultured bacterium
Lineage: Bacteria
Description: partial 16S ribosomal RNA
Rfam family: Bacterial small subunit ribosomal RNA
Source: RNAcentral